UCCCAGACUCCUACGGGAGGCAGCAGUGGGGAAUAUUGCACAAUGGGGGAAACCCUGAUGCAGCGACGCCGCGUGAGCGAUGAAGUAUUUCGGUAUGUAAAGCUCUAUCAGCAGGGAAGAAGAUGACGGUACCUGACUAAGAAGCCCCGGCUAACUACGUGCCAGCAGCCGCGGUAAUACGUAGGGGGCAAGCGUUAUCCGGAUUUACUGGGUGUAAAGGGAGCGUAGACGGCGAUGCAAGCCAGAUGUGAAAGCCCGGGGCUCAACCCCGGGACUGCAUUUGGAACUGUGUGGCUGGAGUACGGGAGGGGCAGGCGGAAUUCCUGGUGUAGCGGUGAAAUGCGUAGAUAUCAGGAGGAACACCGGCGGCGAAGGCGGCCUGCUGGACAGUAACUGACGUUGAGGCUCGAAAGCGUGGGGAGCAAACAGGAUUAGAUACCCUGGUA
RNAcentral lists this ribosomal RNA (446 nucleotides) under uncultured bacterium. Its description in RNAcentral is "partial 16S ribosomal RNA". It matches the Rfam family "Bacterial small subunit ribosomal RNA", at positions 329 to 792 of the family's 1533-position model. The record is from RNAcentral.